This 187-nucleotide unclassified non-coding RNA is filed under the name fungal sp. RNAcentral describes it as "partial internal transcribed spacer region". Lineage: Eukaryota; Fungi. The record is from RNAcentral.
AAGUCGUAACAAGGUUUCCGUAGGUGAACCUUCCUUGGUGGCUGGAACUGAAAGUUUGUGCCAUUACAUCGGGUGUAACCCAUUUCUUCACGAAAACAACCCCCAUAAACCUUGCCAAACCGAUCUUCUGUUAACACGGAGGAUCAAAAAACCCGAACAACUGUUAACAAUGGAUAUCUUGGUUCUC